GGCACCUUCCCACCUGUUUCUGAGGAGUGAGGUGUCGCGAGGGUCAUUCCUUUCCCCAGGGGCCAAGCAGUCAGGGAGGGGGCAAUGGGGAUUGGCAUCGAGGUCUGUCUCGAGGCCAAAGUUCAAAGGUCAGAGGGCAGGGGGAAGCGGAGGGGGGGAGGCCUGGCUCACCUGUGUUGUUUCCUUGCAGCCCCCACCCCUGCCUCUGCCCCCGCCCCCAAAGCCUGAGUCCGAGAAUCACGAGUACCAGGACCUGCUAAACCCUGACCCUGCCCCGUACUGCCAGCUGGUGCCCACCCCCUGA
RNAcentral lists this long non-coding RNA (304 nucleotides) under Dasypus novemcinctus (nine-banded armadillo). RNAcentral describes it as "lncRNA (ENSDNOG00000050712.1)". Lineage: Eukaryota; Metazoa; Chordata; Mammalia; Cingulata; Dasypodidae. The record is from RNAcentral.